Molecule: ribosomal RNA, 443 nt
Filed under: uncultured bacterium
Lineage: Bacteria
Description: bacterial SSU rRNA
Rfam family: Bacterial small subunit ribosomal RNA
Source: RNAcentral
AACGCGAAGAACCUUACCUACUCUUGACAUCUUCGGAAUCUACUAGAGAUAGUGGAGUGCCUUCGGGAGCCGAAAGACAGGUGCUGCAUGGCUGUCGUCAGCUCGUGUCGUGAGAUGUUGGGUUAAGUCCCGUAACGAGCGCAACCCUUAUUCUUAGUUGCCAGCGGGUGAUGCCGGGAACUCUAAGGAGACUGCCGGUGAUAAGCCGGAGGAAGGUGGGGACGAGGUCAAGUCAUCAUGGCCCUUACGAGUAGGGCUACACACGUGCUACAAUGGCCGGUACAAAGGGAAGCGAAGCUGUGAAGUGAAGCGAAUCUCAAGAAAGCCGGUCGUAGUCCGGAUUGGAGUCUGCAACUCGACUCCAUGAAGUUGGAAUCGCUAGUAAUCGCGGAUCAGAACGCCGCGGUGAAUACGUUCUCGGGCCUUGUACACACCGCGUGUCU